UAAUAAAUUUAUUACCUAUUCUAUUAUAUAAAUAGGUAAUAAAUAACAACACAUGAUAGAUGACAUGAUAGAUGUGUUAUUUAUAUUAUUACCUAUUUAGCUAGCUGGCAUCUAUCUAUCUCUAUUGUCUAUCUUGAUAUAGAUAUACAGAUAAUGACAUAGUUUUUUCCUCAGGAAAGUCAGGGUUAAAUAAGGCUCUCAGCUGAUCAUAAGGAUGAGGAGAGGUGAAUGACAGGGGAAUCUAAUAAAAACGAGUGGUUCAGGGAAGGCUUCCCCGGGAAGGGGAUCAUUAACACUAAACCUUGAAGGGCACGUGCAUUUAUGAAUUAUGUGAAUAAAUUACCAGGGGAAGUACUGCAAAAGACUACAAAGAGACAAGAUUCAACAUGAUUUUUAAAACAUUGUACUGUAAAAAAGAAAUUACAAGAAAUUAUCCUAAGUCAGUCAGUGUUUCCCAAGGCUGAGCAUUAAGAGAAAUAAUUCUUGGGGAUGUUAAAAGCUCAGAUGUGUGGGAACUAUCCUAAGCCUAUUGAUAAGAAACGUAACAAGGCCAUAUUAGAUCUGAAGCUGGCAGUGAUCUUGAAAACCACAGAAAAAGACCAAGAUUGAAGACCAAAGAAAGCAAUUUUAAUUCCAGGCAAAGGCAAUGAGAUUAAUAAUUAUCAUUUCUAAGUAUUAAAGUCAACCUUCUACUAAUGUGCAGAAACAUAGAAACCCAAGGCAAUAUUUGAAAUGAAGAAAUGAAAAAAGACAACAUAUCUAUAAAACUGACUGUGCAUCUACAACUUAAUUUUCUAAGAAUAAAUACUGCUUUUACCAGUAACUUAAAGAAAAAGGUGGUAAUUCAGGCAAAUAAACAGUGAGAAGGAAAUUGAAUAGAGUUGAUGACUGAUUAGACAUACCAACCUUCUUAACUUAAACACCUUAUUUCUUUUUCUAAGUUAGAGCACGGCUUAGGAAACAGCAAGCACAGUCUUAAAAAAUUAUUAGCAAAACUUAGAAGUUCCCUCUCAAACCAAAACAUUCCUCUCUCUUUCUUACUCAUAGCGUGCACACCCACCAGCAGAUUCUACUCACAGUGAGAAAUAAAUAUGCUAUCCAGAUAUAAGAAGCUUUAAUAUUUUAUAAUAUUUGCUCCUUCAUUUUAAAGGAACCAUCAGGUCAUAGUCAAAGUCUGUCUGCAUUACCAUCUCAGUCUCACUUCUUUCACUUCUUCUCUGUGCAAAAAAUGUCAUUUUACUGAACAUUAAAUAUUUACAUCUAGGUCAUUCUGUUUAAAUGCUGUCUGAACAUUUAUGUAUGAGUGUAUUACAAUUUAUUACACAUUCCUCUUAAUAAUGGAAAUUUAAAAUUAUUCCCGGUUUUGUGUAUUACAAACAUAAGUAUCAAUAUUUUUAACUCUUUUGGCAGGUUAUCAAAGUUCCCCUUUAGAGUUCAUAUUUAGAGAUGGAAAUUCUAAGUUGCAACAGGUAUCAACACUACUAAAUCUCAUCCUUUUUCUCUAUUUUUUGGUUCUCACUUCUGACCCCAAUUGUACCUAAUCAUACUCACUAAAAUGGUGAUAGGUGUGGUUGGGUUUCUUGCCUGUCACUGUGUGAUGGUUUGAAGCAGCUAAUCCUUUCAAAAGCUACAUGAAA
Cebus imitator (Panamanian white-faced capuchin) is the source of this 1637-nucleotide long non-coding RNA. RefSeq lists it as uncharacterized. The record is from RefSeq and is a predicted model, not a curated record. NCBI's taxonomy places the organism in Eukaryota, Metazoa, Chordata, Mammalia, Primates, Cebidae. The transcript has 2 exons.